This 254-nucleotide long non-coding RNA is filed under the name Vigna radiata. RNAcentral describes it as "long non-coding RNA (VRAD_LNC003604)". The record is from RNAcentral. Lineage: Eukaryota; Viridiplantae; Streptophyta; Magnoliopsida; Fabales; Fabaceae.
GGGGAAGCAUUGGACAUUCAACGGAAAGGUGCACGUCCUUUAAAUUCAAAGUACAAUCUCUAAUUGAUGCAGGAUGACUAAAGUUCCAAGAGGACAAACCUAGUGUUGAAGUCAAUUCCCUUGUCGAGCAUGGAAAUACCUCAACAAAUGCCAUCGAGGUUUGACGACACAAGCUAGUAAGGGAUGUAAGUGGAACUCGAAGUUCUGAAAGGGUCAAUUGCCCCCCUUUUUCAGUGCAAAAUCUCGCAUGUAAC